Molecule: non-coding RNA, 74 nt
Organism: Pteropus alecto (black flying fox)
Lineage: Eukaryota; Metazoa; Chordata; Mammalia; Chiroptera; Pteropodidae
Source: Rfam
GACUCCAUAGUAUAGUGGUUAGUCCGUCUGCUUUACAUGCAGAAGGUCCUGGGUCCGAGCCCCAGGUGGAGCCA